Molecule: long non-coding RNA, 5724 nt
Filed under: Homo sapiens (human)
Lineage: Eukaryota; Metazoa; Chordata; Mammalia; Primates; Hominidae
Description: long independently transcribed non-coding RNA 3108 (LINC03108)
Source: RNAcentral
AGAUUCUUUGAACUUGGAGUCAAACCUGAGGCUCUGACCCCUUGUAGCCGCUGGCCCUCCCUUGACCCCUUUGGAUGAGUGAGGGGGCUCAGCUGGACCCUAUGACCUUGCUUCACAUUGGAGCAUGGAGUUUUCCAAGGAUCUGUCACUAGUGUGCCGUCUGAACAGACAUCGCUGCUGACACCUAAAACCUCUUCUAAGAAACACUCCAAUUAUUCAGAUAAUUGCUUGUGCCUAAGACUGUAUAACCUAAGAGUCGGGUGCAGGCUUGAUAAAGAAUUGGAAGCCCUCUGCAAAACUGCUACAGGUGUUCUGUGUUCCGACGCCCUCCAUCACCUUGGACAGGGGUUCUUCUUCCGGCCCAGUCUCUCCCAUUUCCUCUUUUCUCCCUCCAUCUCCUCCCAUUUGCUUGGCCAGAGCAGAGGCUCGGCUGGUCUAGUUCAGGUAGGAUGGCCAGCAUCCAGUCACUGCCAUAUUCAACAAGGACUUGAGAGCUUCUAGAGAGAGAAAUGCAAGUCAAACCAGCCUGGGCUUUUAAAAGGGGGCUUUGUGUGACCCUGGACACCUGCAACUGGGAGCCAACACUGCCACGUGCUCUCUCUUUUCUCACGCCUCAACUUCCUCUGAAUACUGAUCUAAAUCUCUUUGCUAAGCUUCCUCUCUAUGGCAGGUAAUGUGCACGAUGGCAGCUUUUGCUUAUUGUACCUCAUGACUUCACUGCCAGAAAGGGACAGAGAGGGGCCUUCACGGCCUUCACUGGGGCCAGGUGACCAUCAUUGGCUCAAACACUGCGGCUUGGGAAGAGCUGAACUGAUGCCUGCUCACAUCUGGACUCUGAUUUGUGCUAGGGAGGGGGUACUUUCCAGAAGAAGGGGCCCCUGUCCUGGAAGACAUACAAUGGAGCCCACCACCGUGGUGCUGAGAGCUAUUCCCAAGUCCUAGGGCGCAGUGGGCCCUCCUCCUUCGCCUCUGCUUCCCCUGCCUGGCAGUGAGGGGCAUGGCCUGGGGGAGGGGUGACAUCUGUCCACAGAGCCCAUUGUUUUUUGGCUUGAAAAUCCAUAGGAAAAUGGGGGUUUUUCUCAGCUCCCUUUUUUUGGAGUGGGGGCAGCAGCCGUGUGAUUUUCUGAGUGGAAUGCCUUGGAGGAUCUAAGCGGUGAGUGAAGGAAGAACAAAAGAACCAUUCUCAGAAGCAUGGCAAAAAUGAAACCAAAUAAAAACCCCAUAAAAAUCCCUACCGGGGCAGAGGAAAUACCAAGCCAGUGCUUUUGGAGUGCAGAUUCUGUAAUAAAGGAAAGAUUCAUGGAUACGCUGUGCAACUUGCUUAUGUUUGGACUGGAGGGAGAAUGUGCAGGAACAUGAUAUAAAAGAGUCAUCCAAGAAAGGGAGGCAUCGCUGUGUGCAUUUGUGUUGUGUGUUGUUGCAAUUCAGGAGUGGACUAAGGACUGGGGUUCAUGGGGAGCCUGAAAGAGACACUGGACUGGUUCAAAGUUUGUGCACAGCUGCGGAGAUCAGAUGACUGUCAGCUGGGCCUGCCCCCUGCUGCCUCUGCUUGAUUGCAGGAGGAACUCUGACCUUGAUUUAGUCACCAAAACACCCAUCUGGAAAGCUCUUUGAAGAUUGAUUAAGUAAACACUCACAGCACAGACAAUCAUAAUUGAGUGACGUAGCUGAAUUAUCUGCAGUGCGUGGAAGAAUGCACUGAUGAGAAAGCUCAGGGGCAUGUUCCCUCUCUGUUCCUCUAAUUUGGCUUCCUUACUUAGGGGUACAGUUUCGGGCACCGGGAGUGUUUUGAGGGGAUGGCGUGGAGGAUGUGGAGACUUUCACUCUCAUUUGGCAGGGUGACACUAUCCCAGGCAUAGAACACCACCCGUCACCGCACUGCAGCUGGUGUGGCCUGUGGCAGGUAGCGCUGUCCGCACAGCUGACCUGAGAUGCUGCCUGUAGGGGGUUUCAGUUCUGCUUUGUGACUGUGGGCUGCUGUGAGCCCACUUUGGGAAAGGGCUCACAGAUGGGGAAGGCCUGGAUUUCAUCUGGGAGUGCCUCACCUCUCUGCACGGUGGUUCUGCUCUAGGAAAGAGCUGGUGGGCCUCUGUGGGCAUGAAGCAGUGGCCACGUUAGUUCCCUAAUGAUCUCUGCAGCUCCGUGGGAGAUAGAGAUGGGAAUAGGCUGUCAGCUCUGGACUCGGCUUCUGGACUUGGUAUGCCUGGAGUUUGUUGAGUCCUCUGGAUUCGGGGAGCAGUUUUGAUGUUCAUUCAAUUCAUUCAUGAUUGAUCCAUCCACCUAUUCACUCACUCACCAGGGCUAUCAUUUCAUCAUUCAAUCACGUUGAGAUAAUGUCUCUCCCACUUUUUCUCUCUCCUGCCUGGCACAGUGCCAAGCUUCUGCCAGGGCUCUGCACAUUUGUUUACAUCUCUUCCUGCUCUGCUUUUGUUGUGGUUGAAUAUCUAACCCCCAGGACCUCAGAAUGUGACCUUAUUUGGUGAUAAGGUCUUUAUUUAUUUAUUUACUUAAUUUUUGAUACAGAGCCUCGCUCUGUUAUCCAGGCUGGAGUGCAGUGGCGUGAUCUCAGCUUACUGCAACCUCUGCCUCCCGGGUUCAAGCGUUCAAGUGAUUCUCCUACCUCAGCCUCCCAAGUAGCUGGGAUUACAGGUACAUACCACCACGCCGGGCUAAUUUUUGUAUUUUUAGUAGAGACUGAGUUUCAUCAUGUUGGUCAGUCUGGUCUCGAACUCCUGACCUCAGGUGAUCACUUCAGUGAUCCCAAACUGCUGGAAUUAUAGGUGUGGGCCACUGUGCCUGGCCAAGUGUGAGGGUCUUUAAAGAGGUGAUUAAGUACAAAUGAGGUCACGAAGAUGGGCCCUAAUCCAAUAUGACUGGUGUUCUUCUAAGAAGAGGAGAUGAGGACAUAGACACACACAGAGGGAAGCCCAUCUGAGGACAUGGGGUGAAGAUGGCCAUUUCCAAGCCAAAGAGAGGCCUCAGAAGAAACCAACCCCGCCGGCACCUACACCUCACACUUCCAGCCUCCAGACCGUGAAGAAGUAAAGUUCUGUUGUUUAAGCCAGUCUGUGGUACUUUGUUAUGACAGCCCGGGAAAAUGAAUACAGCCUCUCAACACGUUCACUGAGCAUAUAGCCAUCUGCAAGUUAUUCUAGAUGAUCUACAGAUGAAAGUAGAGAAGUACAGGAAAAGAGGAACGGGAACGAGCUCAUCUUUUCUUCUUCAUUUUCUCCUCCCAAACCCUCCCUACUCAGCCUCUCCUUACCUCUACCCUCAGCAGAAAGCAGAAACUUAGGGGGAAAUGAAACAGAGUGCUCUCCAGCAGAUGCCGCCCUACGGAAGCUCUGGAAUAGAAUGGAGACCCUUCAGUAUAGAAUCAGAAGCAUCAUUUUCUUUUGGCUGUCCCCCACUCUCCAAGUUUGUUUUUAGCUCACGUGUAUACACACUCACGGCCAGAACACACACAUGGCCUGACGAAGCAGCCGCAUGUGUGCAUCUCAGAAAGACUGGGAACAGGGACCCCAGCUGUUGUGGACACGCUGUGACUGUGUGGCUGGCAGUGUGUUUGCCAGUGUUUGCCAGUCCCAGCUUUAUGGGGCAUGGUGGCUGGAAAAGGCUGCAAUAAAAUGAUUCUCUGGGGCACGAAUUAUGUCACUUUUUGUCCUUUGUGUGCAAAAAUGAUGGCAAUGUUGUGUUUCCACACAAUUGCUACAGGACUGUCCUUUGAUUUAUGGCCCUGGAGGAUGGCUGUGUGCUCUGAUCUCUUUAUCUGCAGGAAUCACCAGCUCAUUUCAUUCUGAAAUCAUCUUGGGAUCUCUGGAAACACCCCCCAGUCUUCAAACCUGCUGCGCCUAUUAACAAGCCAAGCCCAUUUAAAACAGGCUCAGUAUGGAAGACUCAAUAUUCCUCGUUCUUCUACAGUAUCUACCAUUUUGGAUCAAAGACAUUUUUCACCACUCAACACAAUAAUAAUCCUGUCCCAUUGGUCGUUUUGCAAUCCUGGCUUAGUUCGCUGAUUUUAAAGGGAACUGGGAUUCCAAGAGCUCAGUGUUGACCAACGGGUCCCGUGUUGCAUAGUACUGGGUCCCCAGAGGACUUUGGCCAAGAUGUGACUGCCAAUGUGGCUGCAAUCAGCUUCUUUGUGCAUGCUGGGGAGUGAAAUUUGCACAUCACAUUCACUUUUCCCUCAUAUCCAUAGUGGUGUUUCUGAAGUCUCGUGGCAUUUCUUCAUUUAACGUUGAUGUUAAAACAAGCUUCCCUUUCUUUUCUAUGUCUAUUCCAGUGAUGUUCUGAGGGCCAGCCCAGCAAGAGUGUCCCAAAGCCUGGGUAUGCUCAGCUUCUCCUGCCCCACUUCCUCCUGCAGUGCCUUCCUUUCCUGGCCUCCAUUUCUGCCCCUCGGCCCUGCCUUCUUCCUCUUGCUCCCUGCUUACUCCCAAGCAGAAUCCUCUUAUUUGAUGGGACCUAGGGUGUGCCCUACUCCUGAGGUUAGCUGCGUUUUAGAUGAGUGCCUCCUGAAUAUCCUAAGCUUUCAAAAUCCAAAGAAAUUAUCUCCCAAUGCUUGAACGGAGCCAAGGUUUUCUACCUGGACUGGUUGGGCAGACAGGUCUACUCUGCUUACUUACAUAACCAGGCAAGGUGAUCUGCUGGGUUCUAAGCUGCACCCCUUCCUCGGUGUGUGUCUGUCUGCAUGUUUGGCUGAUGCGCAGACGCCUUCUCAGGUAGGUCUGGGGUGAUGCAGGCUCCUAUCACUCAAGGGUAUGAAUCUUGCUGCAAAUGGAGACUGAUGUGGGCUCAUGGUGCCAUCUCACUGCCACCUUCCCCUAGCCCCAGAGCUAUAUUUACUAGUUAGCCAAUAAAAACAAACAAAUACUACAGGUCUACACGCGUUCAAACCCUUGCUCUCUUCUACGCUUUCAUUUCAUAAAUGUUGGUACAUCCAGAGAACGGAACUGAGCCCACAGCCAUGUACAAGCUUUUCAGUGACCUGAUCACUUCCAAUCUGCUCUAGCCAAUGAGGAUUCAGAGCAGUGACCCUUAGAUAAAAGGCUUCAUUUGGCAUGAGUCAUCCGUGGAGACAUCCAGCCCACUUGGUCUGUGUUAAGUGCCUGGUUCCUGUAAAUAUUGACAGUUAGAAACCAUCCCAAGAGCUACCAUGCAGUGAACUGGAAGGUAAUCUACACGAACAUGACCACUGAUUAGGCAAUGCUCAUUGUUUGCUAAGAUUCAGCCACUGAUAAAUAUCACCCCAUUAUCUCUCUUCCCAAUAGCGGCUCAUUUACUUGUGUGUGACUCAUAGUUGGUAUUUUAUGGGGUCUGAUUCAGCAAGGAAAGUUUGCUGCAACAAAGAAUGACCUCCAAGGCCACUUCAACUUCUAGAAUACUGGCUUCUCAACAAGAGUGGCCUGGAAAAGCUAAAGGGGGAGUCUUUAUCAUCAAGGAACUAAAGGGGGUAUGGAGGGAUAUAGAGCAAAAGAGUGUUUGUCACCAGUCAAAGCCGAUGUGUUAAAACCCACUUAUCCCCAUAGCCACACUUCCAUUACAGUUUAUCUAUGGAUGCCAGUGACCUGCAAGAGGCUCCUUCUCCUUGUUCAAGUCACUUUGGGCUUGUUAGCUCUAUCUCGAAGAAGGGGCAAGGAUAAACCUCUACCCAUGCAGAAGCUGAUUUUACCUUUUGCUCUUCCUUUCUGACUGCUUAAAAUAAAUGUAUCAUUACCUGAAUGUCUA